This 253-nucleotide ribosomal RNA is filed under the name uncultured bacterium. Its description in RNAcentral is "partial 16S ribosomal RNA". It matches the Rfam family "Bacterial small subunit ribosomal RNA", at positions 524 to 776 of the family's 1533-position model. The record is from RNAcentral.
UACGGAGGGCGCAAGCGUCGUUCGGAAUCAUUGGGCGUAAAGCGCGUGCAGGCGGCUUGGUAAGUCGGGUGUGAAACCCCGGGGCUCAACCCCGGAACUGCACCCGAUACUGCCUCGCUCGAGUCCCGGAGAGGAUGGCGGAAUUUCCGGUGUAGAGGUGAAAUUCGUAGAUAUCGGAAGGAACACCAGCGGCGAAGGCGGCCAUCUGGACGGUGACUGACGCUCAGACGCGAAAGCGUGGGGAGCAAACAGG